AACGAACGCUGGCGGCGCGUCUUAAGCAUGCAAGUCGAACGGUAAGGGAGAGCUUGCUCUCCCCUAGAGUGGCGGACUGGUGAGUAACGCGUGGGUGACCUGCCCUGAAGAUGGGGAUAGCUAGUAGAAAUAUUAGAUAAUACCGAAUGUGCUCAUUUACAUAAAGGUAAAUGAGGAAAGGAGCUACGGCUCCGCUUCAGGAUGGGCCCGCGUCCCAUUAGCUAGUUGGUGAGGUAAAGGCCCACCAAGGCAACGAUGGGUAUCCGGCCUGAGAGGGUGAACGGACACAUUGGGACUGAGAUACGGCCCAAACUCCUACGGGAGGCAGCAGCUAAGAAUCUUCCGCAAUGGACGAAAGUCUGACGGAGCGACGCCGUGUGAAUGAAGAAGGCCGAAAGGUUGUAAAAUUCUUUUGCAGAUGAAGAAUAAGAAGAAGAGGGAAUGCUUCUUUGAUGACGGUAGUCAUGCGAAUAAGCCCCGGCUAAUUACGUGCCAGCAGCCGCGGUAACACGUAAGGGGCGAGCGUUGUUCGGAAUUAUUGGGCGUAAAGGGUAUGUAGGCGGUUAGGUAAGCCUGGUGUGAAAUCUACGAGCUCAACUCGUAAACUGCAUUGGGUACUGCUUGACUUGAAUCACGGAGGGGAAACCGGAAUUCCAAGUGUAGGGGUGGAAUCUGUAGAUAUUUGGAAGAACACCGGUGGCGAAGGCGGGUUUCUGGCCGAUGAUUGACGCUGAUAUACGAAGGUGCGGGGAGCAAACAGG
This 761-nucleotide ribosomal RNA is filed under the name uncultured Treponema sp. Its description in RNAcentral is "bacterial SSU rRNA". It matches the Rfam family "Bacterial small subunit ribosomal RNA", at positions 28 to 776 of the family's 1533-position model. Lineage: Bacteria; Pseudomonadati; Spirochaetota; Spirochaetia; Treponematales; Treponemataceae. The record is from RNAcentral.